UGGGGAAUAUUGGACAAUGGGCGAAAGCCUGAUCCAGCCAUGCCGCGUGUGUGAAGAAGGUCUUCGGAUUGUAAAGCACUUUAAGUUGGGAGGAAGGGCAGUAAGCGAAUACCUUGCUGUUUUGACGUUACCGACAGAAUAAGCACCGGCUAACUCUGUGCCAGCAGCCGCGGUAAUACAGAGGGUGCAAGCGUUAAUCGGAAUUACUGGGCGUAAAGCGCGCGUAGGUGGUUCGUUAAGUUGAAUGUGAAAGCCCCGGGCUCAACCUUGGAACUGCAUCCACAUCUGGCGAGCUAGAGUAGGGCAGAGGAUGGUGGAAUUUCCUGUGUAGCGGUGAAAUGAGUAGAUAUAGGAAGUAACUCCAGUGGCGAAGGCGACCACCUGAGCUCAUACUGACACUGAGGUGCGAAAGCGUGGGGAGCAAACAGG
Molecule: ribosomal RNA, 429 nt
Filed under: Pseudomonadota bacterium
Lineage: Bacteria; Pseudomonadati; Pseudomonadota
Description: Proteobacteria bacterium partial 16S ribosomal RNA
Rfam family: Bacterial small subunit ribosomal RNA
Source: RNAcentral